UAAUACGGAGGGUGCGAGCGUUAAUCGGAAUUACUGGGCGUAAAGCGCAUGUAGGCGGUCUGAUAAGUCGGAUGUGAAAUCCCUGGGCUUAACCUAGGAACGGCAUUCGAUACUGUCAGGCUAGAGUAGGACAGAGGAGAGGGGAAUUCCGCGUGUAGCAGUGAAAUGCGUAGAUAUGCGGAGGAACACCAAUGGCGAAGGCACCUCUCUGGGUCCAUACUGACGCUGAGAUGCGAAAGCGUGGGGAGCAAACAGGAUUAGAGACCCCGGUAGUCCUAGCCGUAAACGAUGCGAACUGGGCGUGGGUGGAUUAAAACCCAUCCGUGCCGAAGCUAACGCGAUAAGUUCGCCGCCUGGGGACUACGGCCGCAAGGUUA
Molecule: ribosomal RNA, 377 nt
Filed under: uncultured bacterium
Lineage: Bacteria
Description: bacterial SSU rRNA
Rfam family: Bacterial small subunit ribosomal RNA
Source: RNAcentral